GGAAUAUUGGUCAAUGGGCGAGAGCCUGAACCAGCCAAGUAGCGUGCAGGAUGACGGCCCUAUGGGUUGUAAACUGCUUUUAUAUAGGGAUAAAGUGACCCACGUGUGGGUUUUUGUAGGUACUAUAUGAAUAAGGACCGGCUAAUUCCGUGCCAGCAGCCGCGGUAAUACGGAAGGUCCGGGCGUUAUCCGGAUUUAUUGGGUUUAAAGGGAGCGCAGGCUGAUUAUUAAGCGUGACGUGAAAUGUAGCCGCUCAACGGCUGAACUGCGUCGCGAACUGGCUGUCUUGAGUGAGUUCGAUGUGGGCGGAAUUCGUGGUGUAGCGGUGAAAUGCUUAGAUAUCACGAAGAACUCCGAUUGCGAAGGCAUCCUUCUGGGGCAUGAUUGACGCUGAGGCUCGAAAGCGCGGGUAUCGAACA
This 419-nucleotide ribosomal RNA is filed under the name uncultured Prevotella sp. RNAcentral describes it as "bacterial SSU rRNA". It matches the Rfam family "Bacterial small subunit ribosomal RNA", at positions 358 to 774 of the family's 1533-position model. Lineage: Bacteria; Pseudomonadati; Bacteroidota; Bacteroidia; Bacteroidales; Prevotellaceae. The record is from RNAcentral.